Molecule: ribosomal RNA, 420 nt
Filed under: bacterium
Lineage: Bacteria
Description: partial 16S ribosomal RNA
Rfam family: Bacterial small subunit ribosomal RNA
Source: RNAcentral
UGGGGGAUAUUGCACAAUGGGCGAAAGCCUGAUGCAGCGACGCCGCGUGGGGGAUGAAGGCUUUCGGGUUGUAAACCUCUUUCGCUAUCGAACAAGGCCCGCUUAGGGUGGGUUGAGGGUAGGUGGAGAAGAAGCGCCGGCUAACUACGUGCCAGCAGCCGCGGUAAUACGUAGGGCGCGAGCGUUGUCCGGAAUUAUUGGGCGUAAAGGGCUUGUAGGCGGCUUGUUGCUCCUGCUGUGAAAACGCGGGGCUUAACUUCGCGCGUGCAGUGGGUACGGGCAGGCUUGAGGGUGGGAGGGGUGACUGGAAUUCCAGGUGUAGCGGUGGAAUGCGCAGAUAUCUGGAGGAACACCGAUGGCGAAGGCAGGUCACUGGGCCAUUACUGACGCUGAGGAGCGAAAGCAUGGGUAGCGAACAGG